UGAAAUCUGAAAGAUGGAUAUUUUACUUUGC
RNAcentral lists this non-coding RNA (31 nucleotides) under Mus musculus (house mouse). The record is from RNAcentral. Lineage: Eukaryota; Metazoa; Chordata; Mammalia; Rodentia; Muridae.